GCGACGUCGCUAUGAACGCUUGGCCGCCCAAGCCAGUUAUCCCUGUGGUAACUUUUCUGGCACCUCUAGCCUCAAACGUCGAGGCCCAAAGGAUCGAUAGGCCRCACUUUCAUGGUUCGUAUKCACACUGAACAUCAAAAUCAAGGGGACUUUURCCCUUUUGUUCUACUGGAGRUUUCUGUUCUCCAUGAGCYCCCCUUAGGACACCUGCGUUAUGGUUUAACAGAUGUGCCGCCCCAGCCAAACUCCCCACCUGRCAAUGUCUUC
Molecule: ribosomal RNA, 267 nt
Filed under: Pyrgonota sp. Pys
Lineage: Eukaryota; Metazoa; Arthropoda; Insecta; Hemiptera; Membracidae
Description: partial 28S ribosomal RNA
Source: RNAcentral